RNAcentral lists this ribosomal RNA (113 nucleotides) under uncultured marine alpha proteobacterium. Its description in RNAcentral is "partial 23S ribosomal RNA". It matches the Rfam family "Bacterial large subunit ribosomal RNA", at positions 1 to 115 of the family's 2925-position model. The record is from RNAcentral. Lineage: Bacteria; Pseudomonadati; Pseudomonadota; Alphaproteobacteria.
CGUUCGUUUAAGGGCGUGUAGUGGAUACCUUGGAACUGGAAAGCCGAUGAAGGACGUGAUAUACUGCGAUAAGUUUCGGGGAGCUGUAUGUAAGCUUUGAUCCGAAAAUUUCC